GACAGAGGAUGCAAGCGUUAUCCGGAAUGAUUGGGCGUAAAGCGUCUGUAGGUGGCUUUUUAAGUCUGCCGUCAAAUCCCAGGGCUUAACCCUGGACAGGCGGUGGAAACUACCAAGCUGGAGUACGGUAGGGGCAGGGGGAAUUUCCGGUGGAGCGGUGAAAUGCGUAGAGAUCGGGAAGAACACCAACGGCGAAAGCACUCUGCUGGGCCGACACUGACACUGAGAGACGAAAGCUAGGGGAGCGAAUGGG
RNAcentral lists this ribosomal RNA (253 nucleotides) under uncultured bacterium. Its description in RNAcentral is "partial 16S ribosomal RNA". It matches the Rfam family "Bacterial small subunit ribosomal RNA", at positions 524 to 776 of the family's 1533-position model. The record is from RNAcentral.